GAUGAAGAACGUAGCGAAAUGCGAUAAGUAGUGUGAAUUGCAGAAUUCAGUGAAUCAUCGAAUCUUUGAACGCACAUUGCGCCCUUUGGUAUUCCGGAGGGCAUGCCUGUUCGAGCGUCAUUAUCACCCCUCAAGCCCGGCUUGUUGUUGGAUGCAGCGCUUAUCCCGCUCCUCCCAAAGAUAAUGACGGCGUCUGCGACGACUCCUGUACACUGAGCUUUCGGGCACGUACACGGCUAGAAGUCCAGACCCGGUCGCCGUCCCCCCCGCGGGGACACCCAUUACCACAAGGUUGACCUCGGAUCAGGUAGGAAUACCCGCUGAACUUAAGCAUAUCAAUAAGCGGAGGA
Molecule: unclassified non-coding RNA, 350 nt
Filed under: soil metagenome
Description: partial contains 5.8S ribosomal RNA, internal transcribed spacer 2, and large subunit ribosomal RNA
Rfam family: 5.8S ribosomal RNA (bases 1-120)
Source: RNAcentral